AAAGAAGAGCGCUCCCUCCUUCGGGAGCCGCCCUCCAACCCUUUGUGUACCUUACCCGGUUGCCUAGGCGCGGGGAGUCGAGGCUGGAUUUCAGCCUCGCGCUUGCCGAACGGCUCGCACCGCGCCGCUAAAAGGCCCCUUCAAACUCUUUGUCGUAACGCGGAGUCUGAGUUCAAAUUUUGAAUAAAAUCA
This 192-nucleotide unclassified non-coding RNA is filed under the name uncultured Ascomycota. RNAcentral describes it as "sequence contains ITS1". The record is from RNAcentral. Lineage: Eukaryota; Fungi; Ascomycota.